UAAAGAAUUUCUUUUUGUGCCAUCUUUUUAGUUAUCUGGUUUUUGAAAACUAAGCAGCAAUUUUUCUCAAGUUCUCAAAAGCUGUCAGUAUCUGUAAAUCCCUUCUACUCAGAGAAAUACUCCACCUCCCCAUUCCCUCCACGUCAGUGCAGGACUUGUUAUACCACAGAAUAUUCUGGCUCUGCCUCCUCAACCUUUCUACGUGUUAUGUUUAUUUCCCGUUUUCUGCAGUGGAGUUUUAUUGGAGGCCAUUCCUUAUCACAGACUUGAAGAGCUGUGAUCUGCCAUCUACAAGCUGCUUCAGUCCCUGGUCUGCAGCACCUCAGCCCUCUGUACCUCCAGCUUGAGCCACAUUCAAGGGUAGGAGAAUACCAGUGAUGCUGAGGAACCUAAUUUAAGAAUCAGUGCCAAGAGUAAAAAACAUGACUGGCUACUCCAAUUACCAAAUGGACACUAUGUUUACGACUGGAAAUAACUAUGAGUCAGUUGAGAAAAACUGCUGUCUGUGAGUGACCAGAAAGGACAUGAUUUGAAGGGAAUUUUCAUUUGAGGAUCAAGGAAAGGACUUCCCCUCCUACUACCUAAUAAAAUACAAAAGGACUGUGAGAGAUAAAACGUUUUAUUUGGUAACUCCAUGAACUGUGCCUGUGCAACAUACCAACUACCAUAAAUAUUCUUAAUUCAGAAAUAACCCUAUACUGUUAUCCUGUCCUUCUUUUCCUUUGACCUCCAGUUCUGUGUUGGAGCCAGUCAUCCUGAGGAAAGUUAGUAAUUUUGAUUUUGGUUGUGUCAUUUGGACCUAUCUUACACCCUUGAUUUUAAACGCAGCUAGUGUUUUCUAUCGCUGUAUUUUCAAAAGACUUAUUUUCCUACCACUCAAUCCUCCUUCAGUACUACCUACCCUAAGAAUCACAUCACUGAAAAAUUACUUCCUCAUCAUGGGUAACAGUAAAUCACCCACGACUGAAUAGCUUCUAAUAGUUAACCCCAUUUACCCACACAUCAGGAAUAGAGAUGUGAACAAAUUUUUGCUGUCGAUUAUAAUAUCACCAACAGCAAAUAUUUAUUCUUAAUUAAUAAGAUCAUUCAAAAAGUUACUGUAUCUGAAUUCAAUUCAGAAGAUAUCCCAACACAUGUGUGGAGAGUAAUUCUGUCCUCCAACCACUGAAAUACCCUACAAAUGGUGUCUAGACUUGUUCUGAGUGUGACUGAGGACCAACAGCAUCAGUGUCACCCGGGAGACUGCAGAAAUGCAGACUCCACCCUUGGAGCUACUGCUUAUAGUCUGCAUUUUAACAAGCUCCCCAGGGGGAUUCAGGUGCACAUUACAGUUUAGGACACACUACUCUAGAGAACCAGUGUAAAAUUUGAUCACAGGGCUUUAUAUGUUAUUACAGAUUUCACUCUGGAUUUAAAAUAUUUGUCCCUUGUUCUUUUUGACACUCUGUAUAAUCUGAAACACACAAGUUAUUCAAUGAAUCAAUCUGUCACA
Non-coding RNA from Manis javanica (Malayan pangolin), 1492 nucleotides. The record is from RefSeq and is a predicted model, not a curated record. Lineage: Eukaryota; Metazoa; Chordata; Mammalia; Pholidota; Manidae.